Molecule: ribosomal RNA, 253 nt
Filed under: uncultured bacterium
Lineage: Bacteria
Description: partial 16S ribosomal RNA
Rfam family: Bacterial small subunit ribosomal RNA
Source: RNAcentral
GACGAACCGAGCGAACGUUAUUCGGAAUCACUGGGCUUAAAGGGCGCGUAGGCGGGCUGCCAAGUCAAGGGUGAAAGCCCCCGGCUCAACCGGGGAAGUGCCUCUGAUACUGCCGGACUAGAGUUCGGAAGAGGCGAGUGGAAUUCCCGGUGUAGCGGUGAAAUGCGCAGAUAUCGGGAGGAACACCAAUGGCGAAGGCAGCUCGCUGGGACGUUACUGACGCUGAGACGCGAAAGCGUGGGGAGCAAACAGG